UAUUACACUACAAAUAAAGUUCGUCUGAAAGAAUAGGUGUUGGGAGGAAGCAGGUGAAACUCCUGCGCUCCCCCGGAACAGUAAACUUUCGCCGUUGGUGGAAAAUUGGCGGAAGAAGCCUGGUCGACCCGACUGCUAUUCAUAGCCGCA
RNAcentral lists this non-coding RNA (150 nucleotides) under Candidatus Wildermuthiibacteriota. The record is from RNAcentral.